CUCCCGAGUGCUUGCACUCAAUUGGAAAGAGGAGUGGCGGACGGGUGAGUAACACGUGGGUAACCUACCCAUCAGAGGGGGAUAACACUUGGAAACAGGUGCUAAUACCGCAUAACAGUUUAUGCCGCAUGGCAUAAGAGUGAAAGGCGCUUUCGGGUGUCGCUGAUGGAUGGACCCGCGGUGCAUUAGCUAGUUGGUGAGGUAACGGCUCACCAAGGCCACGAUGCAUAGCCGACCUGAGAGGGUGAUCGGCCACACUGGGACUGAGACACGGCCCAGACUCCUACGGGAGGCAGCAGUAGGGAAUCUUCGGCAAUGGACGAAAGUCUGACCGAGCAACGCCGCGUGAGUGAAGAAGGUUUUCGGAUCGUAAAACUCUGUUGUUAGAGAAGAACAAGGACGUUAGUAACUGAACGUCCCCUGACGGUAUCUAACCAGAAAGCCACGGCUAACUACGUGCCAGCAGCCGCGGUAAUACGUAGGUGGCAAGCGUUGUCCGGAUUUAUUGGGCGUAAAGCGAGCGCAGGCGGUUUCUUAAGUCUGAUGUGAAAGCCCCCGGCUCAACCGGGGAGGGUCAUUGGAAACUGGGAGACUUGAGUGCAGAAGAGGAGAGUGGAAUUCCUUGGUUAAACCGGG
Molecule: ribosomal RNA, 636 nt
Filed under: Enterococcus faecalis
Lineage: Bacteria; Bacillati; Bacillota; Bacilli; Lactobacillales; Enterococcaceae
Description: bacterial SSU rRNA
Rfam family: Bacterial small subunit ribosomal RNA
Source: RNAcentral